This 307-nucleotide unclassified non-coding RNA is filed under the name Hevea brasiliensis (rubber tree). The record is from RNAcentral. Lineage: Eukaryota; Viridiplantae; Streptophyta; Magnoliopsida; Malpighiales; Euphorbiaceae.
AAGAAAAAAAAAGUAAAAAAGAAAAAUGAAAACUUAUUAAGUUGAAAACCCAUAAAGGGCUGUUUUUGACCAAAAUUAGAGCAAAUAAAGAAACAAAGAACACUAACUUGCAAGAGAAAAGGACUGAUAGCAAAAUGUUGGGUAGCACUUGCCUUGACCUUGUCCAAAUCAUUAAGAGUCUCUACCAUGAUAAUGGAACUUGAGUGACACUAGUCUGCAUCCGAAGGAGCGAAAGCAAGAAAGUUGUUCAAUUAGAGCAUUGAAUUUCAGAAAUUUCUUCUAAAGUUUUAUGCAUUAUGCCACAUUU